AGUAGAAGAAAUCUUCCAAAUAAAAAGCUGUGCGGAAGCAAACCCUCCAUAUCUCUGUUUACUACUUUUGCAGUUGCUGAUAAUGCAGAUUCUGACAGCUCAGACUCAGUUUGAGGGAGAGCCUCCUCCUCUCCCUGGCUGCCACCACAGCCUUCUGAAGAAGUGUGCAAAGGGACCUCAUGCUCCAAGCAUGGACAAGUCACGCUCAGUCUCAAGACAUAUGCUAACUCUUCUGAGCCCCCGAAUACCGUGCCCCUGGGAAAAGCUGAAGAACUACAAGUCCCCUGGUACUGCACUGUGCCCACCAAAGACCCACGAGGGCAGAGGGAUGCUGGGAAUUUAACCAAGUCAUCUGACUCAGACACUGUAAAACAUGGGGCAGAGCUUUCUGUGUAGUGAAGAGUUAGGCAGCUGAAAUUCAAUCUCUGUGAAGUGAUAAGCCUUAAUUUCUGAGAACUCCAUUACUAAGAUCUUUAACUCAACACAGUAGGGCAGUACUUAGUCAAAUAACAAUAUAAAGACAUAGAGGGAAAGGCCCCGUGCCAACUUUCAGGUUUAGAAGUGUAUUUCAUGAUUUUUUUCAGCAGUACAUUUUAGAACAAAACUAACCCAGCAACGAACUACAUGUACAUAAACUCAGGAGUUGCCUAAACCAGGGGACUUUGUAUAAAAGAUUCUAUUCAUAAAUAAAACAACCUUCGUUCAAAGUAA
Cavia porcellus (domestic guinea pig) is the source of this 711-nucleotide long non-coding RNA. RefSeq lists it as uncharacterized. The record is from RefSeq and is a predicted model, not a curated record. NCBI's taxonomy places the organism in Eukaryota, Metazoa, Chordata, Mammalia, Rodentia, Caviidae. The transcript has 2 exons.